This 1145-nucleotide long non-coding RNA is filed under the name Androctonus crassicauda. The record is from RNAcentral. Lineage: Eukaryota; Metazoa; Arthropoda; Arachnida; Scorpiones; Buthidae.
GGAUAUUUAAAUAUGAAGCCACAAGUUGUUUACCAUAGGAAUUUUAGCGAUUUAACAUAUUUGCUAUUUUAGAAAAUUUAGAAAAAAUUUUCAUAAUUUAGUCAUGAAAUUAAAAUUUUUCAUUAGAUUUUUGUUACUCAAAUUUUUAGUGUAAGAAGACACACACAUUAGUUUGUCAAGAAUAUUUGCAUAAUGGAAGUUGCAAAAAUGGGGACAGGUGUCCAAUGAAACAUACAGUUAAGAAAGGGCAAAAGAGAAAAUGUACAGAUGAAUCUGAAAUUCAACCAUUAAAAAAAGCUGCACUUCAAAAUGGAAAUAAAGAAGAGUAAGUAAAAUAAUUUACAUAUUGUUCUUACCAGUUGUGCUAUGAAAUGAAAAUAUAUUUUGAAAUCUACAGAGGAAAUAAGAAUUCAUGCCAUAUAAUUACUUGUGAAGUUGGUGCUCGUCCAGCAUUUUCUGAGCAACCGUCAUUCAUAUCACUUGGAGAUUAUGAAGAAGAAAGAGAUUCCAUAACAAAAAUUACCACUACUGGUAAAUCUUUAUUGUUAAUUUCUUACAAUUAUAUACAACUCUGUAUUAUAUUUAUUAAAAAUAUUUUCAAGUCUCAACCCUCUUCGAUCUAAUCUCAUAAUGUAACUAAAAACUUAAAAGUAAUUAUAUUUUUGAUUAAUGUUUAACAGAGGAAUCCAGAUAUGAGAUGAUUUAGUGAGUAUGUUCCUGGAGUAGUUAGAUUUUUUUGUGCUAAUUUCAGUUGAUUAAAAUUAGUCAUAAUAGUUUAUCAGAGUAUUAAAAAAAGUGGGUUAAUUGUUAUCAAGUAGGUAUAAACUUUUUUUUUAUAUUGAUACAAUUAUUUUCUAGGGAAUCCACGUCCACCACCAUUGCGAAUCAGGCCUCUCUUUCUUAAACAGGGCACACUAGGUACUGCGUCUCCUAGUGUCCCAGGUAAGUAAAAUUCCAGAAUGACUGCUGCAAUAGAAUGAAACUGAGAAACGUGCCUUCUCAUAUUUUAACAUUUGAAGAUUGUUUAUUCAAAAUUUUUGUACAGUUGUAUUAAAAUUAAAAGUCAAUUUAAAUUAUGUAUUUAUCUGCAUAUAAGUGAAAUAAAGAGACUUUUUUUUGAUAACGCAAACCAUGACCUUGUUGCG